Molecule: ribosomal RNA, 497 nt
Filed under: uncultured bacterium
Lineage: Bacteria
Description: partial 16S ribosomal RNA
Rfam family: Bacterial small subunit ribosomal RNA
Source: RNAcentral
GAUGAACGCUGGCGGCGUGCCUAAUACAUGCAAGUCGAGCGAACGGACGAGAAGCUUGCUUCUCUGAUGUUAGCGGCGGACGGGUGAGUAACACGUGGAUAACCUACCUAUAAGACUGGGAUAACUUCGGGAAACCGUAGCUAAUACCGGAUAAUAUUUUGAACCGCAUGGUUCAAAAGUGAAAGACGGUCUUGCUGUCACUUAUAGAUGGAUCCGCGCUGCAUUAGCUAGUUGGUAAGGUAACGGCUUACCAAGGCAACGAUGCAUAGCCGACCUGAGAGGGUGAUCGGCCACACUGGAACUGAGACACGGUCCGGACUCCUACGGGAGGCAGCAGUAGGGAAUCUUCCGCAAUGGGCGAGAGCCUGACGGAGCAACGCCGCGUGAGUGAUGAAGGUCUUCGGAUCGUAAAACUCUGUUAUUAGGGAAGAACAUAUGUGUAAGUAACUGUGCACAUCUUGACGGUACCUAAUCAGAAAGCCACGGCUAACUACGUG